UUUAAGUUGAUGAUUCUCCAUCCUUGCGCUCUGAGCUCUUUGCGGAGCUAAGAGGAUAACCUGGUUCUUGCUUCUGCGCGGCAGAUGCAAGCUGAUUCC
Drosophila melanogaster (fruit fly) is the source of this 99-nucleotide small nucleolar RNA. The record is from Ensembl. Lineage: Eukaryota; Metazoa; Arthropoda; Insecta; Diptera; Drosophilidae.